Molecule: ribosomal RNA, 558 nt
Filed under: Diestrammena fengyangshanica
Lineage: Eukaryota; Metazoa; Arthropoda; Insecta; Orthoptera; Rhaphidophoridae
Description: partial large subunit ribosomal RNA
Rfam family: Bacterial large subunit ribosomal RNA
Source: RNAcentral
UCGCCCUGUUUUACAAAAACAUGUUUUUUUGUAUUAUAAUUUGAAAUUUGACCUGCCCACUGAAAUUUAAUUUGAAGGGCCGCGGUAUUUUGACCGUGCAAAGGUAGCAUAAUCAUUAGUCCUUUAAUUGUGGACUGGAAUGAAUGGUUUGACGAGGUAUUAGCUGUCUCAUAUUUAAUGAUUUGAAUUUAACUUUUAAGUUAAAAGGCUUAAAUAAUUUUAUAGGACGAGAAGACCCUAUAGAGCUUAAUAAUUAUUUGCUUUAUAUAUUUUUGGUUUAUUAUUUUUAUAAAGAAUGUAAUUAUUUUAUUGGGGUGAUGUGAAGAAUUAAUAAACUCUUUAUUAUUAUAAACAUUGAUUUAUGAAAAAUUGAUCCAUUAUUAAUGAUUAUAAGAUUAAGUUACCUUAGGGAUAACAGCGUUAUUUUUUUUGAGAGUUCUUAUCAACAAAAAAGAUUGCGACCUCGAUGUUGGAUUAAGGUAAAUAUUGGGUGUAGAAUUUCAAUAGUUAGGUCUGUUCGACCAUUAAAUCCUUACGUGAUCUGAUUCCAGACCGGGA